AGAGUUUGAUCCUGGCUCAGAAUGAACGCUGGCGGCGUGCCUAACACAUGCAAGUCGAGCGGUAAGGCCCCUUCGGGGGUACACGAGCGGCGAACGGGUGAGUAACGCGUGGGUAACCUACCCAGAAGUGGGGGAUAGCCCCGGGAAACCGGGGGUAAUACCGCAUGAGUAACAAUAGACACAAGUCGGUUGUGGGAAAGGCGGGGAUCCUUCGGGACCUGUCGCUUCUGGAUGGGCCCGCGUCCGAUUAGCUUGUUGGUGGGGUAAUGGCCUACCAAGGCUGCGAUCGGUAGCCGGCCUGAGAGGGUGAACGGCCACAUUGGGACUGAGACACGGCCCAGACUCCUACGGGAGGCAGCAGUGGGGAAUUUUGGGCAAUGGGCGCAAGCCUGACCCAGCGACGCCGCGUGGAGGAUGAAGGCCUUCGGGUUGUAAACUCCUGUCAGGUGGGAAGAAAUGCCUGUCGGUUAAUACCCGACAGGAGUUGACGUACCACCAAAGAAGCCCCGCUAACU
This 515-nucleotide ribosomal RNA is filed under the name uncultured bacterium. Its description in RNAcentral is "bacterial SSU rRNA". It matches the Rfam family "Bacterial small subunit ribosomal RNA", at positions 8 to 502 of the family's 1533-position model. The record is from RNAcentral.